Molecule: ribosomal RNA, 429 nt
Filed under: Bacteroidota bacterium
Lineage: Bacteria; Pseudomonadati; Bacteroidota
Description: Bacteroidetes bacterium partial 16S ribosomal RNA
Rfam family: Bacterial small subunit ribosomal RNA
Source: RNAcentral
UAGGGAAUCUUCCGCAAUGGACGCAAGUCUGACGGAGCAACGCCGCGUGAGUGAAGAAGGAUUUCGGUUCGUAAAACUCUGUUGUUAGAGAAGAACAGCGCAUAGAGUAACUGUUAUGCGUGUGACGGUAUCUAACCAGAAAGCCACGGCUAACUACGUGCCAGCAGCCGCGGUAAUACGUAGGUGGCAAGCGUUGUCCGGAUUUAUUGGGCGUAAAGCGAGCGCAGGCGGUCAAUUAAGUCUGAUGUGAAAGCCCCCGGCUCAACCGGGGAGGGUCAUUGGAAACUGGUUGACUUGAGUGCAGAAGAGGAGAGUGGAAUUCCAUGUGUAGCGGUGAAAUGCGUAGAUAUAUGGAGGAACACCAGUGGCGAAGGUGACUCUCUGGUCUGUAACUGACGCUGAGGUUCGAAAGCGUGGGUAGCAAACAGG